This 470-nucleotide ribosomal RNA is filed under the name uncultured bacterium. RNAcentral describes it as "partial 16S ribosomal RNA". It matches the Rfam family "Bacterial small subunit ribosomal RNA", at positions 355 to 811 of the family's 1533-position model. The record is from RNAcentral.
UGGGGAAUUUUGGACAAUGGGGGCAACCCUGAUCCAGCAAUGCCGCGUGUGUGAAGAAGGCCUUCGGGUUGUAAAGCACUUUUGUCCGGAAAGAAAACGUCGUGGUUAAUACCCGUGGCGGCUGACGGUACCGGAAGAAUAAGCACCGGCUAACUACGUGCCAGCAGCCGCGGUAAUACGUAGGGUGCAAGCGUUAAUCGGAAUUACUGGGGCGUAAAGCGUGCGCAGGCGGUCCGCUAAGACAGAUGUGAAAUCCCCGGGCUUAACCUGGGAACUGCAUUUGUGACUGGCGGGCUAGAGUAUGGCAGAGGGGGGUAGAAUUCCACGUGUAGCAGUGAAAUGCGUAGAGAUGUGGAGGAAUACCGAUGGCGAAGGCAGCCCCUGGGCCAAUACUGACGCUCAGUGCACGAAAGCGUGGGGAGCAAAACAGGAUUCAGAUACCCUGGGUAGUCCAACGCCCUGAAACGAUG